Oncorhynchus masou masou (cherry salmon) is the source of this 2073-nucleotide long non-coding RNA. RefSeq lists it as uncharacterized. NCBI's taxonomy places the organism in Eukaryota, Metazoa, Chordata, Actinopteri, Salmoniformes, Salmonidae. The transcript has 3 exons. The record is from RefSeq and is a predicted model, not a curated record.
AAUACACAAUAACGUUACUUAAAUUUACGGGCCAUCUCGGCAAAAAAUGUGAUUUGACAUUUGUUCAGAAAGAUGCUUGCUUCUGUCUCCGGAGCCUGACCAGAAAACCGCUUCGUUUGCCCCUUUUAUGGCGUCGUUGUUUUGGGUCACCGGCUGGGAUCCGAUCCAUUGUCCUUGGUGGAAGGCUAAGCACAGGAUCCGCUUCUGGAAAGUCAUAUUCCUGGUCGUAAUGAUGGACCUGAGCCCUAGGACCAUGCCUCAGGACUACCUGACAUGAUGACUCCUUGCUGUCCCCAGUCUACCUGGCCGUGCUGCUGCUCCAGUUUAAACUGUUCUGCCUUAUUAUUAUUGGACCAUGCUGGUCAUUUAUGAACAUUUGAACAUCCUGGCCAUGUUCUGUUAUAAUCUCCACCCGGCACAGCCAGAAGAGGCCACCCCACAUAGUCUGGUUCCUCUCUAGGUUUCUUCCUAGGUUUUGGCCUUUCUUGGGAGUUUUUCCUAGCCACCGUGCUUCUACACCUGCAUUGCUUGCUGUUUGGGGUUUUAGGCUGGGUUUCUGUACAGCACUUUGAGAUAUCAGCUGAUGUACGAAGGGCUAUAUAAAUAAAUUUGAUUUGAAUAUGUGGAAUCAGGAUCCCAUGUGUCACAAAUCAAUAAAUAUUACUAAGGGAAUAAACAGUAUACAGUGGAUUUUGCUGAACACGUGGGACUCCUAACAUGUUUUAUUGUGCUUGAUAGAAUGAUAAUACUUGAGGCUUACCAUUCAGUUCUGGAUUUAAUCCCCUGGGCACUAGGAGUAUAAGAAAGUUAUAGGGGCCGUAUGGUAUGCGUGGGGAUUGCUUGAGCGAUGGUGUCUGCCAACUCAUUUAUCACUAGACUCUCAGUCAGAAAGGGGAGAUCGGAUUCUAGAGGUUUCUAUGGCCUGGCUAAAAAUACACUCACCCGAGGGUUUCCACACACCCACACACAAAACCGCACACGCAUGCAGACCGAACAGAGAUAUGGGCGGAGUCGCACGUAUUAGGGAUUGAAUGUGAUCAUAGGACAAUCACGGGACAGACACAGGACUCUUCACUAACCCAAGAUGAGAAAGGUUGUCCGGUAAGCCAGGGGAAGUGGAUCAGGUGUCCACACCUGGCCUUGGGGAUUGGGUGGAGAGAGGAGAGUGGCACUGGGAACGAGAGAAAAACACACACACACACACACACACACACACACACACACACACACACACACACACACACACUCAUCCCCCUUGUAAGAGCUCAUUUUGGCUGUUUCUGGUAAAUGAGUAGAAAUGAUGGUGGUGUUUCUAUAUGUGGGUGCAUGAGAGACAGAGCCAAUGAAAGAGAUAAUGAAAUAAAGAGAGGGGGCAAGAGAGAGAAAGAGAGAGGGUGAGGUACAGGAGCCCCCUGCUGAGCGCCAAACAGCUUCACAGAGUUAUUUACAGAUCAGUCCAUCAACAAAUGGCAGGUGCAGCAUCCUCACAAACAGGCCUAUUGGCUUUCCUCUCCCUGGAAUGCUGAAAUAUCCUCUCCAGCUAGCGCUCUGUGGAUUAUGUCUCAGUAACUCACUCUCUCUCAUACAUUGCGCUUGCGUCUGUUGUACGCCAUCCACUCACACAUAUAUGUCUCAUGUACUGUAUGUCUAUCUUCAUGUUUAAAGUGACAUCAUAGGGCAUAGUUAUCCCCAAUCCUAGCUUGUGAUGUCUGUGCUUGUUGGCUACGUUUGUUUUACCAUAGUAUGAGUCCCUGGAGACCUUUUAGAAUUAGCAUGUGUACACUGCAUGUACAAAACAUGAACACCUGCUCUUUCCAUGUGAAAGAGCAGGUGAAAGCUAUAAUCCCUUAUUGAUGUCACUUGUUCAAUCCACUUCAAUCAGUGUGGAGACGAAGGGGAGGAGACUGGUUAAAGGAAGAUUUUAAACCUCGAGACAAUUGAGACAUCGAUUGGGUUCAGUUGAAGUCGGAAGUUUACAUACACCUUAGCCAAAUACAUUUAACUCAGUUUUUCAAAAUUCCUGACAUUUAAUCCUAGUAAAAAUUCCCAGUUGUAGGUCAGUAAGGAUUACCA